Molecule: non-coding RNA, 29 nt
Filed under: Rattus norvegicus (Norway rat)
Lineage: Eukaryota; Metazoa; Chordata; Mammalia; Rodentia; Muridae
Source: RNAcentral
UNGCCUAGGCUGGCCUUGACUUCUCUGUG